CAUUCGGAUCGCGGUUACUAAUUUCGAUCCGAAUUAGGGGGGUAUAUGUAAAAUAUUGGAUCGCGAUUAAUAAUCGGAUCCAAAUUAGGGGGCUUCUUGAAAAUUACAGGGCCGGCAAAUGGCAGCCGGCAUGCCGCCCCGCCGCUGCCGCCGACCUUUGCUUUAGCCCCGAAAUGCCGGCGACCAUCCCUAGAGUUGCUACCCACGAGAGCCUCUGUCCACUCACAUGACUAUCUGCGGCGGCAAGCCUGCAAAGUUCCUCCCGGCGGCGCCGCCAACGAGGGAGGCGGGUGCCCAGACCGCGGCUCCACAAGACGGCGCAGGAACGGUUAAGCGGAGAGCGGGCUUGACGGCCAUUCGCCGCUUCGUGGUGCCCACAGCUGCAACCACGACCGCCUGCCGGCCUUCGGCUGCCGCGGUUCGGAUGGAGACGGAGACGACGACGAAGACGUGGUUCCUCGCCGCUCGGCCAGCGCGCCGGUCGGUGGCGCCGGCGUCUGCACGCAAAGUGCUUGACGCUUUGCCUGCAUGGGGACAAAUCUUUUCCGGCAACACGUACCUCAGAGCAGGGUGCACAUACCACGGAGUUCUGAAGAAACGACCGGGGCAUCUCAUCUCAUCGCCUGCCUCUGCCUUCGUUCCCACUGUCCCCUGAAUCCCCUUCUUGCGAGAACUCCAGUAAGCAGGCAAAAGCAGAGUCGGACCUGAUGAGGAAUGGAAUUGAAUUGCGGCGAUUACUGCACGCGAGAUGGUGGAAUCAUGACCUCCUUUUCAAUUGGCACUGCAGUACAUCCAUUUUAAUAUGCUGCUCACUAUAUGAUGGGAAACUACAUCUGCGUGAAAGAGCUGUGUUCGAGCUUGAGUUUUGUCAUAGGUGAUGUACUAUGCCCACUGUCAAGCCAGCCCUUAAUAGUCUCACCUUCAUAUGUGAAUCCAUCUGCAGCAAUGUAAGGAUUGUUCAUGAUCUCCUGUUCAUCAUCAAAUGAGAGCUGAUACUGACUGGCCCAUCGUUUGGUGAAGAACUGCAGCAAGAGUUCUGCGAUCUGUCAGAGUCAACAGAGAAGUCCUCUGAGCUCCAUGGUCUCCUUGGCUUGCCAUUGAAAGUAGAUUCAGCAUCUUCAAAUGGUUGAGGCAGCGUACCACCAGUUCUCCCGGAUUGAGAGCACGCUACAUCUCUUCUUGAUCUUCGCAUAUCGUUCAUAGUACUUACAUUUGAGCUUGACGCUUUGUUCUCCAAUUUGUGGAUCAUUAUUGAUCUCAUUUGGCUGGUGAUGAUGGCACUGCAGGAACUUCUGCAUUGGCCUCUCUGUCAAUUUGACAGUAAAUAGCAAUUACUGCUAUAUCUUAAGAGCUGGAGCACACAUCUAAUGGAUAAAACACUUACUCCUGGUGACCUUGCCUGUUGCCAGGCCCUUUAACAGAAGCUGAAUCAUGCCACUUCCAAAAGAAGGAAUGUGGACAUGAGCAAUGACGAUCCUGGACCUGGAGGAGUCCCUGGCCAAGUUCUGCAGCGCCCACAGCAAGGUGCUCUUGCCAUGCUUGAGCUCUUCUGGGACGGCGACGAAAAUCUUGUCCUCCAC
Molecule: long non-coding RNA, 1580 nt
Organism: Panicum hallii
Lineage: Eukaryota; Viridiplantae; Streptophyta; Magnoliopsida; Poales; Poaceae
Exons: 8
Source: RefSeq, a predicted model, not a curated record